Long non-coding RNA from Vombatus ursinus (common wombat), 582 nucleotides. RefSeq lists it as uncharacterized. NCBI's taxonomy places the organism in Eukaryota, Metazoa, Chordata, Mammalia, Diprotodontia, Vombatidae. The transcript is spliced from 3 exons. The record is from RefSeq and is a predicted model, not a curated record.
AGGCACCAAGCUGGAGACAAGAGCUUUCCCGACUCAGACCUGGUCCCUCCUAUCCUUUCCUUUUGUUUCAGGUCUGGGAGGUGAUCCUUAUGGGUCAGGGAGUUCAAACCAUGGGCUUGGACCUUGGAGCCAAGAUCGGAGGCAGGGAGACAAGUCCAAAUAACAGAGAAGUUAUUUAAAACUACAUUUUAAGUUUAAAGUUACUAAGCAAAUCACAAUGAAAAAUAAAGAAGAGAACAGUGCAGCAAGCCUUGAAUCUAGGGAGGCUCCAGUCUCUGACUUGUGACCUGCCAGAACAGAAGUCUUCUAAAAAGCAGUGGGUCAAAAACUAAUUUACAUUUUUAUAUAAAUGGAAACAAGUUUGUUUAUUUAGUGCCCGUGGAAGAUAUGCAUUGCUGGAGGGGCAGGGGAAGGCAGGUAGCUGGAGAUCUCUCACAGGCUUCUGGCUGCAACAGUCUCAGGUUCUUUCAGGGUCUGAGGGUUCCCAGUCAAUUCUUCAGUGUGAGGCAUGGCUAAUAUUUCCUCAGAUAAACAGUUACUCUGCUCCUUUGCUGCCAUUUUUCUCUGUAUUUUCCAGUUCUU